GCACCUCCACCAUGGCCUGGACCCCUCUCCUCACCCUCCUGGCUCACUGCACAGGCUCUGUGGCCUCCUAUGAGCUGACCCAGCCACACUCAGUGUCAGUGGCCCUGGGACAGACCGCCAGGCUCACCUGCUCUGGAGGUCAAUUAGAGAAGAGAUAUGCUGCCUGGUACCAGCAGAAGCCAGAUCAGGCCCCUAAGCUGGUCAUCAAUAAGGAUAGUGAAUGGCCAUUGGGGAUCCCUGACCGAUUCUCUGGCUCCAGCUCUGGAAACACAGCCACCCUGACCAUCAGCAGGGUCCAGAAUGAGGAUGAGGCUGACUAUUACUGUCUGUCAUCAGAGAGUGAGAGCAGAGGACUGAGAACAAGCAAUGUGCAGGCCUAG
Molecule: non-coding RNA, 380 nt
Organism: Choloepus didactylus (southern two-toed sloth)
Lineage: Eukaryota; Metazoa; Chordata; Mammalia; Pilosa; Megalonychidae
Source: the annotation of a RefSeq genome assembly